This 75-nucleotide transfer RNA is filed under the name Candidatus Peribacteria bacterium RIFCSPHIGHO2_01_FULL_54_22. RNAcentral describes it as "tRNA-Arg". It matches the Rfam family "tRNA". Rfam says of the family: Transfer RNA (tRNA) molecules are approximately 80 nucleotides in length. Their secondary structure includes four short double-helical elements and three loops (D, anti-codon, and T loops). The record is from RNAcentral. Lineage: Bacteria; Candidatus Peregrinibacteriota; Candidatus Peribacteria. RNAcentral also lists the same sequence under 5 other names.
GGCCCCGUAGUUCAACGGAUAGAACGACCCUCUCCUAAGGGGUAAAUGUAGGUUCAAUUCCUAUCGGGGCCACCA